This 2717-nucleotide ribosomal RNA is filed under the name Salmonella enterica subsp. enterica serovar Typhimurium. Its description in RNAcentral is "bacterial LSU rRNA". It matches the Rfam family "Bacterial large subunit ribosomal RNA". The record is from RNAcentral. Lineage: Bacteria; Pseudomonadati; Pseudomonadota; Gammaproteobacteria; Enterobacterales; Enterobacteriaceae.
GCGUACACGGUGGAUGCCCUGGCAGUCAGAGGCGAUGAAGGGCGUGCUAAUCUGCGAUAAGCGCCGGUAAGGUGAUAUGAACCGUUAUAACCGGCGAUACCCGAAUGGGGAAACCCAGUGUGAUUCGUCACACUAUCAUUAACUGAAUCCAUAGGUUAAUGAGGCGAACCGGGGGAACUGAAACAUCUAAGUACCCCGAGGAAAAGAAAUCAACCGAGAUUCCCCCAGUAGCGGCGAGCGAACGGGGAGGAGCCCAGAGCCUGAAUCAGCAUGUGUGUUAGUGGAAGCGUCUGGAAAGGCGCGCGAUACAGGGUGACAGCCCCGUACACAAAAGCGCAUGUGCUGUGAGCUCGAUGAGUAGGGCGGGACACGUGGUAUCCUGUCUGAAUAUGGGGGGACCAUCCUCCAAGGCUAAAUACUCCUGACUGACCGAUAGUGAACCAGUACCGUGAGGGAAAGGCGAAAAGAACCCCGGCGAGGGGAGUGAAAAAGAACCUGAAACCGUGUACGUACAAGCAGUGGGAGNNGGGCGUUAAGUUGCAGGGUAUAGACCCGAAACCCGGUGAUCUAGCCAUGGGCAGGUUGAAGGUUGGGUAACACUAACUGGAGGACCGAACCGACUAAUGUUGAAAAAUUAGCGGAUGACCUGUGGCUGGGGGUGAAAGGCCAAUCAAACCGGGAGAUAGCUGGUUCUCCCCGAAAGCUAUUUAGGUAGCGCCUCGUGAAUUCAUCUCCGGGGGUAGAGCACUGUUUCGGCUAGGGGGCCAUCCCGGCUUACCAACCCGAUGCAAACUGCGAAUACCGGAGAAUGUUAUCACGGGAGACACACGGCGGGUGCUAACGUCCGUCGUGAAGAGGGAAACAACCCAGACCGCCAGCUAAGGUCCCAAAGUCAUGGUUAAGUGGGAAACGAUGUGGGAAGGCCCAGACAGCCAGGAUGUUGGCUUAGAAGCAGCCAUCAUUUAAAGAAAGCGUAAUAGCUCACUGGUCGAGUCGGCCUGCGCGGAAGAUGUAACGGGGCUAAACCAUGCACCGAAGCUGCGGCAGCGANNUGCUGGAGGUAUCAGAAGUGCGAAUGCUGACAUAAGUAACGAUAAAGCGGGUGAAAAGCCCGCUCGCCGGAAGACCAAGGGUUCCUGUCCAACGUUAAUCGGGGCAGGGUGAGUCGACCCCUAAGGCGAGGCCGAAAGGCGUAGUCGAUGGGAAACGGGUUAAUAUUCCCGUACUUGGUGUUACUGCGAAGGGGGGACGGAGAAGGCUAUGUUGGCCGGGCGACGGUUGUCCCGGUUUAAGCGUGUAGGUGUGUGUUCCAGGUAAAUCCGGUUCACUUUAACACUGAGGCGUGACGACGAGGCACUACGGUGCUGAAGCAACAAAUGCCCUGCUUCCAGGAAAAGCCUCUAAGCAUCAGGUAACACGAAAUCGUACCCCAAACCGACACAGGUGGUCAGGUAGAGAAUACCAAGGCGCUUGAGAGAACUCGGGUGAAGGAACUAGGCAAAAUGGUGCCGUAACUUCGGGAGAAGGCACGCUGACACGUAGGUGAAGUGAUUUACUCAUGGAGCUGAAGUCAGUCGAAGAUACCAGCUGGCUGCAACUGUUUAUUAAAAACACAGCACUGUGCAAACACGAAAGUGGACGUAUACGGUGUGACGCCUGCCCGGUGCCGGAAGGUUAAUUGAUGGGGUCAGCGCAAGCGAAGCUCCUGAUCGAAGCCCCGGUAAACGGCGGCCGUAACUAUAACGGUCCUAAGGUAGCGAAAUUCCUUGUCGGGUAAGUUCCGACCUGCACGAAUGGCGUAAUGAUGGCCAGGCUGUCUCCACCCGAGACUCAGUGAAAUUGAACUCGCUGUGAAGAUGCAGUGUACCCGCGGCAAGACGGAAAGACCCCGUGAACCUUUACUAUAGCUUGACACUGAACAUUGAGCCUUGAUGUGUAGGAUAGGUGGGAGGCUUUGAAGUGUGGACGCCAGUCUGCAUGGAGCCGACCUUGAAAUACCACCCUUUAAUGUUUGAUGUUCUAACGUGGACCCGUAAUCCGGGUUGCGGACAGUGUCUGGUGGGUAGUUUGACUGGGGCGGUCUCCUCCUAAAGAGUAACGGAGGAGCACGAAGGUUGGCUAAUCCUGGUCGGACAUCAGGAGGUUAGUGCAAUGGCAUAAGCCAGCUUGACUGCGAGCGUGACGGCGCGAGCAGGUGCGAAAGCAGGUCAUAGUGAUCCGGUGGUUCUGAAUGGAAGGGCCAUCGCUCAACGGAUAAAAGGUACUCCGGGGAUAACAGGCUGAUACCGCCCAAGAGUUCAUAUCGACGGCGGUGUUUGGCACCUCGAUGUCGGCUCAUCACAUCCUGGGGCUGAAGUAGGUCCCAAGGGUAUGGCUGUUCGCCAUUUAAAGUGGUACGCGAGCUGGGUUUAGAACGUCGUGAGACAGUUCGGUCCCUAUCUGCCGUGGGCGCUGGAGAACUGAGGGGGGCUGCUCCUAGUACGAGAGGACCGGAGUGGACGCAUCACUGGUGUUCGGGUUGUCAUGCCAAUGGCACUGCCCGGUAGCUAAAUGCGGAAGAGAUAAGUGCUGAAAGCAUCUAAGCACGAAACUUGCCCCGAGAUGAGUUCUCCCUGAGACUUAGAGUCUCCUGAAGGAACGUUGAAGACGACGACGUUGAUAGGCCGGGUGUGUAAGCGCAGCGAUGCGUUGAGCUAACCGGUACUAAUGAACCGUGA